AUGCAAAACAUUGUUGAAUUAUUUAUGGAAGUAACUAAUUUGUCCAAUAAACGAGAGGCAGAAGAAAUAUUAAACAUGUGUGAAUGGAAUUUGGAAGAAGCAAUAUCUACCUAUAUGAAUGAUGAUGAUUUUACAAAGCUAGAAAAUGUGUCAGACUCGAUAAAAUUAUCAGAAGUAGAAAAUCGGAUAAAUGGAAAGAAAAACGAAAAUGAUAAAACUUUAGAACAAAACAGUAAAUUAAAUGAUAAUAAAUUGAACGAUAAUAAAUCGAAUGAUAGUAAAUUGAAUGAUAGUGAUAUUGACAACAAUUCAAUUGACAAAAACGAAAUCAAUGUAAAGGGAGAUAAACUUGGGAAAAAUCAGUUUAUAUAUUUAAUACAUAAAUUUAGUAAAACAUUUAGUCCUUUUUUUACAUCUUUUUUGAAUCUUAUAAAAACAUGUUUUCAAUUUAUUAGUACAUAUUUCAUUGGGUUAUCAAAUAAAAAACACGAUUUUACUUCUUAUUACGAAAAUAAGUUUGGAAAUAGUCAUUGUUUGUUUUUUGAAGGUACACUACAUGAUGCUAUAAUAAAAUCUAAAAAGGAAGAGAAGUUAUUACUUGUUUAUUUGCAUAUUGAUGAUGCAAGUAGUGAAUAUAUUUGUAAAAGUAUUUUUAAUAAUAAUAAAAUUAAGUCAUUUUUGGAUGAACAUUGUAUUUUGUAUGCACAAGAUAUAUCGAAAGGUUAUUUAAAAGAAUUAAGUAAUGUUUUAAAUGUUUUUGUAUUACCACAAAUAAGUAUACUUACUACAUGUGUUGAUGGAGAUCCAAAAGAAUUGUCUAUUAUUUAUGGAAAACCACAUGUUAAUAAUGUAAUAAACUCUAUUAUUAAUUGUAUUGAAAUAAUGCAUAAAAAAAAAGAAGAAUCUAAUUAUUAUUAUUCAAAUAGUCUAGUUAGUGAUAGUAAUUUUAGUGAUGUGAGUAGGAAUAGAAAUACUGUUACUGCUGCUACUACAGGUAGUGUUUCUACUACAUCCAUUACCACACCUGUUAAUAAUAAUAAUAAUAAUACUGUGAGGGAUAAAACAUAUACUGAUAGAAUGAUUAGAGAAGAACAAGAUAAAGAAUAUCAAGAAACAAUAAGACUUGAUUUGUUAAAGGAAGAAGAAAAAAGAAAAAAAGAAGAAGAAAAAUUAAAAAAAAAAAAAAAUAAAAAAAAUAUUAAAAAAAUGAGAAAAAAAAAAAGUUUGAAUUAUUCAUUACAAAUAAAUGAAAACGAAAUUAAUAAUAUAACACAUAUAUGUUUAAAAUUACCAAAUGGUGUUAGAGUGAAAAAUAAAUUUAUGCUUACACAUACACUUGAAGAUAUAUAUGAAUGGGCUGAAUGUUUAGAAUUUUUACAAAAUACAAAAAUGCGUAUCCCAUAUAAAUUUAAAUUAGUAUGUGGACAUACUAAAACAAUAUUAGAAAAAUCAAACAAACAACUAAAAGAAUUUGAUUUAUUUCCUAACGCUGUGCUUAACUUGAAAUCGAUGGAUUCGUCCGACGAGGACAGUGACGAAGAAGAUAGUGUCACUGAUGACGAGUGUACAGAGCAUGAUAAGAAUAAAAAAGUAGCAUAAGCCCUUUUUUUUUUUUUGUGCGCAGGUUUAAGUAUUAUACACACAUACAUAUAUAUAUAUAUAUAUAUAUAUAUAUAUAUAUAUAUGUAUGUAUGUAUGUAUACAAACAGAUGAAUGAAACAUAACAAUUACGCAUUUUGUAUAUGCAUUUUUAUUUUUUUUUACUGUAACAUGUUACAUUUGCUUAGCAUUAGCAAUUUUUUAGUACUAAAUAUGACCAUGUUAAAAGGGAAAUGGGGGGAUGUAAAUAUAUAUAUGUGUAUAUAUAGAGAGAGAUAGAGAGGGGGAGAGAGAUAGAGAGAUGGAGAGAUGAAGAGAUGGAGAGAUGAAGAGAUGGAGAGAUGAAGAGAUGAAGAGAUGGAGAGAUGGAGAGAUGGAGAGAUGGAGAGAGAUAGAGAGAUGGAGAGAGAAAGAGCGAACUGCUUAGCUAAGUCAAAAAAAAAAAAAAAAAAAUUAGCUAAGCCAUAUUUAGUUUCGUUUUAUUAUGUUAUAUACUUAUAACAUUUAUUAUGCUAUACACAUAAACAUAUAAUUAUUUAUGUAAAUUAUAAAAAUGUAAUAUUUUUUUUAUGUUAUUAGAAGAAAAUAAUUAAGUAUAAAAAAGAAACAACAGAAAAAAAGAUGAUGGUAUAUUAAAUAUGGUAAAAAGAGAAUAUAUACAUAUAACUGUGUGGAAGAAUAGAGGAGAGUGUGAGGGCAUUAACUGUAUGUUAUAUUGCUACUAUUAUUAUAUUGCUACUAUUAUUAUAUUGCUACUAUUAUUAUAUUACUGCUAUUAUUAU
Molecule: long non-coding RNA, 2381 nt
Filed under: Piliocolobus tephrosceles (Ugandan red Colobus)
Lineage: Eukaryota; Metazoa; Chordata; Mammalia; Primates; Cercopithecidae
Description: lncRNA (ENSPTEG00000000146.1)
Source: RNAcentral